RNAcentral lists this signal recognition particle RNA (263 nucleotides) under Chloroflexota bacterium. RNAcentral describes it as "signal recognition particle sRNA large type". It matches the Rfam family "Bacterial large signal recognition particle RNA". From Rfam's summary of the family: The signal recognition particle (SRP) is a universally conserved ribonucleoprotein involved in the co-translational targeting of proteins to membranes. Archaeal SRP consists of a 7S RNA and homologues of the eukaryotic SRP19 and SRP54 proteins. In most bacteria, the SRP consists of a 4.5S RNA and the Ffh protein (a homologue of the eukaryotic SRP54 protein). Lineage: Bacteria; Bacillati; Chloroflexota. The record is from RNAcentral.
CCGUGCUAGGCGGGGAACUAGCGGUGCCCUGUACCUGCAAUCCGCUCCAGCAGGGCUGAAUCCCCUUCUUAGGUCUUCGUUUUCGAAAGCCGCCGUCACGAGCGACGUUGAGGGCCGGGUCCCGCGCAGCGGCGACUCGUGAACCGUGUCAGGUCCGGAAGGAAGCAGCACUAAGCGAUCUUCGCCGGGUGCCGCGGAAUGGCCUGGUCCGAGCCGCUCGAGAUGGUGGGCGCGGGAGCGAUCGAUCGACGGAGGGUGCACGG